RNAcentral lists this ribosomal RNA (465 nucleotides) under Vreelandella stevensii. RNAcentral describes it as "partial 16S ribosomal RNA". It matches the Rfam family "Bacterial small subunit ribosomal RNA", at positions 338 to 795 of the family's 1533-position model. Lineage: Bacteria; Pseudomonadati; Pseudomonadota; Gammaproteobacteria; Oceanospirillales; Halomonadaceae. The record is from RNAcentral.
CCUACGGGCGGCAGCAGUGGGGAAUAUUGGACAAUGGGGGCAACCCUGAUCCAGCCAUGCCGCGUGUGUGAAGAAGGCCCUCGGGUUGUAAAGCACUUUCAGUGAGGAAGAACGCCUGGUGGUUAAUACCCAUCAGGAAAGACAUCACUCACAGAAGAAGCACCGGCUAACUCCGUGCCAGCAGCCGCGGUAAUACGGAGGGUGCGAGCGUUAAUCGGAAUUACUGGGCGUAAAGCGCGCGUAGGUGGCUUGAUAAGCCGGUUGUGAAAGCCCCGGGCUCAACCUGGGAACGGCAUCCGGAACUGUCAAGCUGGAGUGCAGGAGAGGAAGGUAGAAUUCCCGGUGUAGCGGUGAAAUGCGUAGAGAUCGGGAGGAAUACCAGUGGCGAAGGCGGCCUUCUGGACUGACACUGACACUGAGGUGCGAAAGCGUGGGUAGCAAACAGGAUUAGAUACCCCAGUAGUC